GAUGAACGCUGGCGGCGUGCCUAAUGCAUGCAAGCCGAACGGCCUGAUUUAUCAGGCAGUGGCGGACGGGUGAGUAACGCGUAAGAACUUACCCUAAAGUGGGGGACAACCUCGAGAAAUCGGGGCUAAUACCGCAUACGCUCCGCAAGGAGGAAAGCUACGGCGCUUUAGGAUGGGCUUGCGUCCGAUUAGCUAGUUGGUGAGGUAAUGGCUCACCAAGGCUUAGAUCGGUAGCUGGUCUGAUAGGAUGAUCAGCCACACUGGAAUUGAGAUACGGUCCAGACUCCUACGGGUGGCUGCCUGAGACUCCAAGGCACACAGGGGAUAGG
This 329-nucleotide ribosomal RNA is filed under the name uncultured Chloroflexota bacterium. RNAcentral's name for it is "bacterial SSU rRNA". It matches the Rfam family "Bacterial small subunit ribosomal RNA", at positions 28 to 388 of the family's 1533-position model. Lineage: Bacteria; Bacillati; Chloroflexota. The record is from RNAcentral.